RNAcentral lists this ribosomal RNA (460 nucleotides) under uncultured bacterium. Its description in RNAcentral is "partial 16S ribosomal RNA". It matches the Rfam family "Bacterial small subunit ribosomal RNA", at positions 338 to 795 of the family's 1533-position model. The record is from RNAcentral.
CCUACGGGAGGCAGCAGUGAGGAAUAUUGGUCAAUGGACGAGAGUCUGAACCAGCCAAGUAGCGUGAAGGAUGACUGCCCUAUGGGUUGUAAACUUCUUUUAUAAAGGAAUAAAACGAGGCACGUGUGCCUUUUUGCAUGUACCUUAUGAAUAAGGAUCGGCUAACUCCGUGCCAGCAGCCGCGGUAAUACGGAGGAUCCGAGCGUUAUCCGGAUUUAUUGGGUUUAAAGGGAGCGUAGAUGGGUUGUUAAGUCAGUUGUGAAAGUCUGCGGCUCAACCGUAAAAUUGCAAUUGAUACUGGCAGUCGUGAGUACAGUUGAGGUAGGCGGAAUUCGUGGUGUAGCGGUGAAAUGCUUAGAUAUCACGAAGAACCCCGAUUGCGAAGGCAGCUUACUAAACUGUGACUGACAUUGAUGCUCGAAAGUGUGGGUAUCAAACAGGAUUAGAUACCCGGGUAGUC